RNAcentral lists this long non-coding RNA (326 nucleotides) under Dromaius novaehollandiae (emu). RNAcentral describes it as "lncRNA (ENSDNVG00000000226.1)". Lineage: Eukaryota; Metazoa; Chordata; Aves; Casuariiformes; Dromaiidae. The record is from RNAcentral.
AUCUCAUCUUCAAAAUUCUGCAGCCUCCUCUCUUUGGAUAUACAGAAAACUCAAAAACAGACUUGAAAUGGUCAAGAAUUGAAUUGCACAAAACUUUUCAUCAUGCUCUUGAAGCCAUUGGGACAGCUGCCAUUAAGGUAGCACAGACAGGCAAGAGCGUGGAGCCAUCGUACAUUGGCCUCAAGCUGGGGAUGCAGACGCAUGGACUUCGGUCUGGUGUUUGAGGCAGGGCAGRCUUCCACGACUGCGCUUCCCUCGUGCACUGCUUGUUUUUGGUAAGCACCCCUACACCAAGAAGCUUUAGCAUCUCCUAGAGAAGAGCCGGC